AUGGUAGGUUCUUGCACAUGUAAGUUGUUUGAGACGCAUGGUAUCCCAUGUCGUCAUCUGAUCCAUGUCCUAAGAACAGCCCAGCUAAAUGAACUACCAAAGCAUUAUGUACUCAAAAGGUUUAGAAAGGACUGCAAAACCGAGCCAGUCUUUGACGAGGAUGGCAUUCUAUUGGAAGGCAAUGAGAGCAGUUCAGUUGAUCCGGAGAUACAAAAAUUAGCUUCAGAAACAUUUAAGAAGAUGGAAGACCUUUUAGUACAAGCGAAGCAAUCUCAGGUCAGCAUGCAAUUCUUGAGAGAUCACAUUUUUGCACUUGGAGAGCAAUUGUCUACCCAAGUUCUAGCGAAAAAACAAACUCAAACAGAAGAAUUUGAGGAAUUUUUAGGUUGUUCUAUUCCAAGUGAGGUUCAUAUCCAUCCUCCAAAUGAUAUUUGA
This 435-nucleotide ribosomal RNA is filed under the name Triticum aestivum (bread wheat). RNAcentral describes it as "partial small subunit ribosomal RNA". Lineage: Eukaryota; Viridiplantae; Streptophyta; Magnoliopsida; Poales; Poaceae. The record is from RNAcentral.